CCUUUUACAGCAGGCAGGAGUGACAGAGAGGGGCUUACAGGAGAUGAGGCCGAUGAUGCAGCGAAGUCGGGACCAGGCAGAGAAGUCAGGAUCAGGUGACAAACAGAAACGCUACCGUUGGUACUGAAGAAGCAGGGAGGAAGAGGAGGCAUCUGAGAGGACAAAGGUCACAGGUGUGUAGAAAGGCUGCAGGUGUGAGCGUAACAAGCGCACACUCACAGACAGCUAAUGAUGUUCUCACAAACGUCUGGGUUUGUUAAAGGAGCUACACUUUGUUCCUGGAAAUAAUGAAAAAGGAUGAAAUCAGAAAUGACAUUUCAGCAUCUUUAGCAUCCACAUGGGGCUUUCAGCAGCAUUUACAUCUAUGCCUGGGGG
This 375-nucleotide long non-coding RNA is filed under the name Takifugu rubripes (torafugu). RNAcentral's name for it is "lncRNA (ENSTRUG00000027148.1)". The record is from RNAcentral. Lineage: Eukaryota; Metazoa; Chordata; Actinopteri; Tetraodontiformes; Tetraodontidae.